CUUCGAUGAAGAGAUGAUGACGAGUCUGACUUGGGGGUGUUACCUUUGGCCAGGCAGCCCCACUCUGUGCUGCGUUCUGUGGUACAGUUUGAAGGGCCAUGGUCAAAGAAACUUCUAAAGAUGACCUAGAGGCAUUUGUCUGAGAAGG
Molecule: small nucleolar RNA, 148 nt
Filed under: Castor canadensis (American beaver)
Lineage: Eukaryota; Metazoa; Chordata; Mammalia; Rodentia; Castoridae
Source: RNAcentral